Molecule: ribosomal RNA, 180 nt
Filed under: uncultured bacterium
Lineage: Bacteria
Description: partial 16S ribosomal RNA
Rfam family: Bacterial small subunit ribosomal RNA
Source: RNAcentral
CGAACUCCUACGGGAGGCAGCAGUGAGGAAUAUUGGUCAAUGGACGAGAGUCUGAACCAGCCAAGUAGCGUGCAGGAAGACGGCCCUAUGGGUUAGUAAACUGCUUUUAUAAGGGAAUAAAGUGAGAGUCGUGACUCUUUUUGCAUGUACCUUAUGAAUAAGGACCGGCUAAUUCCGUGC